This 503-nucleotide ribosomal RNA is filed under the name uncultured bacterium. RNAcentral describes it as "partial 16S ribosomal RNA". It matches the Rfam family "Bacterial small subunit ribosomal RNA", at positions 30 to 523 of the family's 1533-position model. The record is from RNAcentral.
AUUGAACGCUGGCGGCAGGCUUAACUCAUGCAAGUCGAGCGGGGUGAUGGUGCUUGCACUAUCACUUAGCGGCGGACGGGAGAGUAAUGCUUAGGAAUCUGCCUAUUAGUGGGGGACAACAUCUCGAAAGGGAUGCUAAUACCGCAUACGUCCUACGGGCGAAAUCAGGGGAUUCCUUGUGACCUUGCGUUAAUAGAUGAGCCUAAGUCGGAUUAGGUAGUUGGUGGGGUAAAGGCCUACCAAGGCGACGAUCUGUAGCGGGUCUGAGCGGAUGAUCCGCCACACUGGGACUGAGACACGGCCCAGUCUCCUACGGGAGGCAGCAGUGGGGAAUAUUGGACAAUGGGGGGAACCCUGAUCCAGCCAUGCCGCGUGUGUGAAGAAGGCCUUAUGGUUGUAAAGCACUUUAAGCGAGGAGGAGGCUCUUUUGGUUAAUACCCAAGAUGAGUGGACGUUACUCGCAGAAUAAGCACCGGCUAACUCUGUGCCAGCCGCCGCAGUAA